AGAGUUUGAUCCUGGCUCAGGAUGAACGCUGGCGGCGUGCCUAACACAUGCAAGUCGAACGGAGUUCUUAAGGAAUGCGACUUCGGUCAAAUGACUUUUGAACUUAGUGGCGGACGGGUGAGUAACGCGUGAGCAACCUGCCUUUCAGAGGGGGAUAACAUUUGGAAACAGAUGCUAAUACCGCAUAAGAUUACAGUACCGCAUGAUACAGUGAUCAAAGGAGCAAUCCGCUGAAAGAUGGGCUCGCGUCCGAUUAGAUAGUUGGUGAGGUAACGGCUCACCAAGUCGACGAUCGGUAGCCGGACUGAGAGGUUGAACGGCCACAUUGGGACUGAGACACGGCCCAGACUCCUACGGGAGGCAGCAGUGGGGAAUAUUGCACAAUGGGCGAAAGCCUGAUGCAGCAACGCCGCGUGAGGGAAGACGGUUUUCGGAUUGUAAACCUCUGUUUUCGGUGACGAAUAAAUGACGGUAACCGAGUAGGAAGCCACGGCUAACUACGUGCCAGCAGCCGCGGUAAUACGUAGGUGGCAAGCGUUAUCCGGAAUUACUGGGUGUAAAGGGAGCGCAGGCGGGAUAGCAAGUCAGCUGUGAAAACUAUGGGCUCAACCCAUAAACUGCAGUUGAAACUGUUAUUCUUGAGUGGAGUAGAGGCAAGCGGAAUUCCGAGUGUAGCGGUGAAAUGCGUAGAUAUUCGGAGGAACACCAGUGGCGAAGGCGGCUUGCUGGGCUCUAACUGACGCUGAGGCUCGAAAGUGUGGGGAGCAAACAGGAUUAGAUACCCUGGUAGUCCACACUGUAAACGAUGAUUGCUAGGUGUGGGGGGUCUGACCCCCUCCGUGCCGGAGUUAACGCAAUAAGCAAUCCACCUGGGGAGUA
RNAcentral lists this ribosomal RNA (879 nucleotides) under uncultured bacterium. RNAcentral describes it as "bacterial SSU rRNA". It matches the Rfam family "Bacterial small subunit ribosomal RNA", at positions 8 to 882 of the family's 1533-position model. The record is from RNAcentral.